GAUGAACGCUGGCGGCGUGCCUAAUACAUGCAAGUCGAGCGAACAGACGAGGAGCUUGCUCCUCUGACGUUAGCGGCGGACGGGUGAGUAACACGUGGAUAACCUACCUAUAAGACUGGGAUAACUUCGGGAAACCGGAGCUAAUACCGGAUAAUAUAUUGAACCGCAUGGUUCAAUAGUGAAAGACGGUUUUGCUUUCACUUAUAGAUGGAUCCGCGCCGCAUUAGCUAGUUGGUAAGGUAACGGCUUACCAAGGCAACGAUGCGUAGCCGACCUGAGAGGGUGAUCGGCCACACUGGAACUGAGAAACGGUCCAGACUCCUACGGGAGGCAGAAGUAGGGAAUCUUCCGCAAUGGGCGAAAGCCUGACGGAGCAACGCCGCGUGAGUGAUGAAGGUCUUCGGAUCGUAAAACUCUGUUAUUAGGGAAGAACAAAUGUGUAAGUAACUAUGCACGUCUUGACGGUACCUAAUCAGAAAGCCACGGCUAACUACGUG
Molecule: ribosomal RNA, 497 nt
Filed under: uncultured bacterium
Lineage: Bacteria
Description: partial 16S ribosomal RNA
Rfam family: Bacterial small subunit ribosomal RNA
Source: RNAcentral